UGGUAAGUAUCCCCGCCUGUC
Molecule: microRNA, 21 nt
Filed under: Gallus gallus (chicken)
Lineage: Eukaryota; Metazoa; Chordata; Aves; Galliformes; Phasianidae
Description: microRNA Ros-gga
Source: RNAcentral